This is a non-coding RNA of Nicotiana tabacum (common tobacco), 1338 nucleotides long. The record is from RefSeq and is a predicted model, not a curated record. NCBI's taxonomy places the organism in Eukaryota, Viridiplantae, Streptophyta, Magnoliopsida, Solanales, Solanaceae.
CUCACCCAAACCCAGAUCGUGUCGGAUUGCUGUAAAGUGCUGGCCAUCUCUGUACCAUCAUCUGCCUUGGGACACAAGGAGAGUUGCCCUUCUCCAUCACUUCAGUAUGCAUCUAUAUGCAUGUCUCAGCAUUUGGAUUGAUGGUCACCUCAUCUGUUAGUUGAGGAAGGAGGAGGAGCUGUAGAGUAAUUCACAUGUCAUUGUUGAACGUGUAAAAUAUAUGUUUCCUGCUUAAACGCAGAGCACUUACAGAAGUCAAAGGAUUUUAAUAACAAUAUGUAAGCUAUUCCAGUGCUCAGUUGGUGAAAGGAAAGUUGAGCUGAAAUUCUCAAUUGAAUAGACAAUCAACUCGACUGUGGUGUGUCAACAAAUUAGUGCAAGUGAAGAAAGGUUUUUGCUUGCCAGAGAGUAAGACCUUUCCAGUUGGAACGACGACCAACAAUCAUGAUAUUAGCAAAAAUGAGAUUCCUGCAUAUGCUACUCUGGAACUGCUUUGCAUAAUUGAGGAAGUCACCACAGUUCGAAUUAAAGAGUGCCUUCCUCGGCUUGUGAUGUAUAAUUCGAGCAUUAACCCAUGCUCCAAUCUUUUCAAGGAAAAGAGGAAUAACCAAAGAUUCCUAUAUCUUGUCAUGGAUUUCAGAACUUGUUAUAUCUCAUUGGUUUCAAGUUGAUGGGUAAAACUACAUUUGAUAGCAAAUAUUGAGAAUUUUUUCAGUAUUUAGAUCACUGAGUUCCCAACUACACCGCAUUCAAAAGGUAAUACUCAAUGGAUCUUAUCACUUUUUCGUUUUGGCUAUCGUUACUAGUUCUUGGAUGGCUCGAGCAGGCGAUCCAGAUAUCUUGACCGACUUCAUUUUUCCUGAAAAUCAAACUGGAGAUACAAUAGAUGGGAAUUUCUUCACCUUCACAGGCAUGCGCAAAUUUCUGGUAGUGUUAUUACAAGCUUUAAGUCGACAAAAGCUAGCAAAGCGGAAUUUCCAGCUUUGGAUGGACAGUGUACUUCACUUGCUGCCCUUCAGUUCCCUGGCGAGGGUGUCAAUCCACCUCACACUCACCCUCGUGCAUCCGAGCUAUGAUUAGUAGUGCAGGGCAGUCUAGAAUAUGGUGUUAGUUUAGAUAGUAGUAACAAGCUCUAUACUUAGACUCUACAAAUUUGUGUUUCCUAAAGGACUAGUGCAUUAUCAGAUUGGAAUAAAUCAGCUACAGUUGUUUCUGCAUUUGGUAGCGCGAAAGCAGGAAUUGUUUCACUUCCAACGACUCUGUUUGCUACAGGUAUCGAUGAUCAGAUUCUCGCGAAGUCAUUCAAGACUGAUCAUAUCUGAACCAUUGUAGCAUGUG